This 21-nucleotide microRNA is filed under the name Xenopus tropicalis (tropical clawed frog). RNAcentral describes it as "piRNA piR-xtr-4551281". Lineage: Eukaryota; Metazoa; Chordata; Amphibia; Anura; Pipidae. The record is from RNAcentral. RNAcentral also lists the same sequence under 1 other name.
CUCUUCGGAGGCGUGGGUUCG